This is a small nuclear RNA of Pteronotus mesoamericanus, 107 nucleotides long. NCBI's taxonomy places the organism in Eukaryota, Metazoa, Chordata, Mammalia, Chiroptera, Mormoopidae. The record is from RefSeq and is a predicted model, not a curated record.
GUGCUGACUUCAGCAGCACAUAGACUAAAAUUGAAACAAUACAGAGAAGAUUAGCACCGCCCCUGCGCAAGGAUGACAUGCAAAUUUGUGAAGCAUUCCAUAUUUUU